This 379-nucleotide unclassified non-coding RNA is filed under the name uncultured bacterium. Its description in RNAcentral is "contains 16S-23S intergenic spacer region". The record is from RNAcentral.
ACCGAGUUGACCCCGGCAGUCUCCUACGAGUCCCCGGCAUAACCCGCUGGCAACAUAGGAUAAGGGUUGCGCUCGUUGCGGGACUUAACCCAACACCUCACGGCACGAGCUAACGACAGCCAUGCAGCACCUGUGCUGGCUCCCCGAAGGGUCCUUCACGUUUCUGAUCCGUACCACCAGCAUGUCAAGCCCUGGUAAGGUUCUUCGCGUUGCAUCGAAUUAAACCACACGCUCCGCCGCUUGUGCGGGCCCCCGUCAAUUCCUUUGAGUUUUAACCUUGCGGCCGUACUCCCCAGGCGGAUGACUUAAUGCGUUAGCUGCGCCACCGAAAGCCUAUGGCCCCCGACAGCUAGUCAUCAUCGUUUACGGCGUGGACUAC